This 70-nucleotide transfer RNA is filed under the name Camelus bactrianus (Bactrian camel). It matches the Rfam family "tRNA". From Rfam's summary of the family: Transfer RNA (tRNA) molecules are approximately 80 nucleotides in length. Their secondary structure includes four short double-helical elements and three loops (D, anti-codon, and T loops). The record is from Rfam by way of RNAcentral. Lineage: Eukaryota; Metazoa; Chordata; Mammalia; Artiodactyla; Camelidae. RNAcentral also lists the same sequence under 3 other names.
GGAUAUAGCUCAGUGGUAGAGUGCGUGCUUAGCAUGCACAAGGUCCUGGGUUCAAUCCCCAGUACCUCCA